RNAcentral lists this ribosomal RNA (112 nucleotides) under uncultured eukaryote. RNAcentral's name for it is "partial small subunit ribosomal RNA". It matches the Rfam family "Eukaryotic small subunit ribosomal RNA", at positions 1676 to 1785 of the family's 1831-position model. The record is from RNAcentral.
UCGCUACUACCGAUUGAAUGCUUUAAUGAGUGUCAUGAACGUUGGACUUGUUGUGGGUUUCCAUGACUUGUCUGGUGAAAGUGAAGCAAAUUUGAGCAUUUAGAGGAAGUAA